ACUUAAAUUUUUAAAUAAGACGAGAAGACCCCGGCGAGCUUAAUUUAUGUUUAAAAAUAAGUUAAACACGAAGGUUUGUUGGGGCAACGCAAGAGGAAAACUACUCUCUUGAAUAGUUAUAUUGAUCCAUUAUGAAUGAAAAAAGCAAAAGCUACCGCGGGGAUAACAGCGUAAUUUUUUUAUAGAGUUCAUAUCGAAAAAAAAGUUUGCGACCUCGAUGUUGGAUUAAAUUUUCCUCUUGGUGCAGAAGUUAAGAAGGAAGGCCUGUUCGUCCUUUAAAAUUUU
Molecule: ribosomal RNA, 285 nt
Filed under: Mactra corallina lignaria
Lineage: Eukaryota; Metazoa; Mollusca; Bivalvia; Venerida; Mactridae
Description: partial large subunit ribosomal RNA
Rfam family: Bacterial large subunit ribosomal RNA
Source: RNAcentral